GAUUCUGUGAUCAGUCAUCCCUUCUUGCUGGUGAAUGAAGGCAGUGGUCACAACUCUCCCCAGAGAAGGUGGUGUGAGGCCAUCACGGAAGAUGCUGCUGCUUCUGCUGCUUCUGGGGCCAGGCUCCGGGCUUGGUGCUGUCGUCUCUCAACAUCCGAGCAGGGUUAUCUGUAAGAGUGGAACCUCUGUGAAGAUCGAUUGCCGUUCCCUGGACUUUCAGGCCACAACUAUGUUUUGGUAUCGUCAGUUCCCGAAACAGAGCCUCAUGCUGAUGGCAACUUUGAAUGAGGGCUCUGGGGUCACAUAUGAGCAAGGCGUCAGGAAGGAGAAGUUUCCCAUCAACCAUCCAAACUUGACCUUGUCCACUCUGACAGUGACAAGUGCCCAUCCUGAAGACAGCAGCUUCUACAUCUGCAGUGCUAGAGACACAGCGCCAGGAGGGGAUCUUUUUGAUGAGCAAUUCUUUUUGAAGUGUUGGACUUUCUGUUCUGAUUUUAUAUUCUACUCUCUGUGUUUUGUUGUAUUUAAAAUCAAGUUCACCUUUCAGAGGCAGUGA
This is a non-coding RNA of Pongo pygmaeus (Bornean orangutan), 556 nucleotides long. The record is from the annotation of a RefSeq genome assembly. NCBI's taxonomy places the organism in Eukaryota, Metazoa, Chordata, Mammalia, Primates, Hominidae.